GCUCCGUAGGUGAACCUGCGGAGGGAUCAUUACCGAGCUCAUGCCCUUACGGGUAGAUCUCCCACCCUGUGUUAUUAUUACCUUUGUUGCUUUGGCGGGCCGCCAGGCUCCGGUCAGGCUAUCGGCUUCGGCUGGUAAGCGCCCGCCAUAGGACCCUAUAUCCUGAUUAUUAGUGUCGUCUGAGUACUAUAUAAUAGUUAAAACUUUCAACAACGGAUCUCUUGGUUCUG
RNAcentral lists this unclassified non-coding RNA (230 nucleotides) under plant metagenome. Its description in RNAcentral is "partial contains small subunit ribosomal RNA, internal transcribed spacer 1, and 5.8S ribosomal RNA". The record is from RNAcentral.